Molecule: non-coding RNA, 326 nt
Organism: Phascolarctos cinereus (koala)
Lineage: Eukaryota; Metazoa; Chordata; Mammalia; Diprotodontia; Phascolarctidae
Source: RefSeq, a predicted model, not a curated record
UGUUCUGUGAGUUCUGCCCAGUUCUGCUUUUGGCCCUGGUUCUCUGGCUGCUGAAGAGCUCUUUGCUGAAGGAAAACAUCCAGAACAAACAUUCUGCGUCUCAACUCAGGUUCUCAUCAUCUUUAGAAUGGUUGAUGGAGUUCCAGGUGCUGAUAUUAGAACCAGCUCUGUCCCUAAUGAGGUGCUGCCUGUUUACCAGCCUGAUUUGCAAUGCCCCAGCUCCCUCUUCUCUAACCUCCUGUGCCCAUUCCUAGGUGCAACUGACAAAGUGGGAAACUGAGGCUCCAAAAGGGCAGGAACGGAGGCAAACAGGAUGAAGUGAUUUG